Molecule: unclassified non-coding RNA, 263 nt
Filed under: plant metagenome
Description: partial contains small subunit ribosomal RNA, internal transcribed spacer 1, and 5.8S ribosomal RNA
Source: RNAcentral
UUUCCGUAGGUGAACCUGCGGAAGGAUCAUUAUCAUAUAACCGAGGUCCCAGGGCUUUCGCUGACCCGACAGGUCGUGCACGCCCAACGGCCCUCACACACAUCCAUCUCACCCCCAGUUGCACCACCCCGUGCGUCCCCCUUUGUCUGUUUCGGCGGGGGGCUUCCGUUUUCACACAAACUUUGUAUGCAGUGUAGAAUAUAUUUUUUGUUUUUGCGAUCACGCAAUCACUACAACUUUCAACAACGGAUCUCUUGGCUCUC